RNAcentral lists this ribosomal RNA (253 nucleotides) under uncultured bacterium. RNAcentral describes it as "partial 16S ribosomal RNA". It matches the Rfam family "Bacterial small subunit ribosomal RNA", at positions 524 to 776 of the family's 1533-position model. The record is from RNAcentral.
UACGUAGGUGACCAGCGUUGUCCGGAUUUACUGGGCGUAAAGAGCGCGCAGGCGGUCGUUCAAGUCGAGUGUGAAAGCCCCCGGCUCAACUGGGGAGGGUCACUCGAUACUGAUCGACUUGAAGGCAGGAGAGGGAAGCGGAAUUCCCGGUGUAGUGGUGAAAUGCGUAGAUAUCGGGAGGAACACCAGUGGCGAAGGCGACUACCUGGCCUGUUCUUGACGCUGAGGCGCGAAAGCUAGGGGAGCAAACGGG